This 1576-nucleotide long non-coding RNA is filed under the name Mus musculus (house mouse). RNAcentral's name for it is "RIKEN cDNA 4921513I03 gene (4921513I03Rik)". The record is from RNAcentral. Lineage: Eukaryota; Metazoa; Chordata; Mammalia; Rodentia; Muridae.
ACAGCUGCUGGAAAAACAAUAGAGAACAAUGUGGAGGAAAGCAGUCGGGGUGGAGCAGGGCUUCUGAUCUCACUGCAGCUGGGUAACAGCAUGUGAAUUCGGGCAAGAGACAGACACCAAGAAUUAACAAUUCACAGAACCUGCUCUGAUGGACCAGCACUGAGAGGACCCACAGUCCUGCAGCAAACACAUCAUCAGACAGUUACAGGAAGAACAGGAGGACCUAUGGGUAUAAUCCUGCCUAUUACACUGACAGCCAGCCAUAUCCCAGCAGGCAGUCAGGGGUGUGGAAGGGAUACAAACUCACGGCUUGACUACUCCAAGGGCACCUGUGUAUCCAGGCCAGCAAUGACAAAUACAGCUGUCAGCAGUGUCUUUACAUGCUGCGUCAUGGUGACAAGGCUUUGACCAACAAAGAGGCAUCAAGGUCACACGGUGUGUCCCUGUGAAUCCGAUAUCCUUGCAGACACAAUGGGAGUUGUUUCCUCCAUCCACACAUAGACCUUCAUGGGGACAUGGCUAAUGGGGGGGGGGUGUUGCCAAGCUGUCCUCAGGGCAUCUAUACAGACACAUUGCUUGCAUGGCUGCCCUUCUCCUUCAACCCCCUCGGUGCCUCAGGCUAUGGUUGUAUCUGUCAGCCUGGAUUCGAAGCCAGAAGUCUAGCAUAACUGUCCUCUGAGAGACUCCACCCAGCAGCUGGUUGAAACAGAUGCAGAGACCCCGACCAAACAUCAAACAGAACUCCAGGAAAGUCUUGUGAAAGAGUUGGAGAAAGGUUUGAGGAGCCUGGAGGGGAUAGGAACUCCACAGGAAGACCAACAGAGUCAACUAGCCUAGACCCUUGGGGCUCCCAGAGACUGAGCCACCAACCAAAGAACAUACACAGGCUGGACCUCCUCACAUAUAUGUAGCAGAUGUGCAAUUUGGUCUUCAUUGUGGGUCCCUGCAUAAUUAUACUGAGAAUAACUUGUCAACUACAUUGGAGCAUGUCUAGGGGACAGAGUCUUUGUGGUCUCAUGAGCUUGAGCUCCAUGCGUGAUUGGUCAUGUAUGAUUAGGGAUAUAACAUACUCGGCUUUGGUUGAUCAUCAUUGAGAAGACCACACAUCUCUGAUCGGAGGCAGUGAAGCAAACGGUUGACUUAGAGAGCUUUAUUUAAUGUGUGAUUCAGAUAGGAUGAAUGAAUAUAAAUUGCUGUGUUGAUACUGAAGUCCUGAGAAACAGAGCCUCAAGGAGCCUCAGCUUGACUCCUACAAUUCUUUUGAGCAAGAAGACGCAGAGCCUUUCUUCAUUCGAGUCGUACUUUCUUACAUGUCUGUGCCUUCACCCUGUUCGGACCCCCGAGAAAGCAGAUGAUGCCAAGUCACUGCUUGCCCUGCCCUCCCGCUUACUCCCGAGACCUUGUGAAGGUUCUUGUCAAGUCUGGGUGAUGGAAAGAGCACAUUUGUGUUUGCUGGAAGUAUCACAGGGGACACUGCGAGGGGGAGCACUUGAAAACUUUCAGACAACAGAGGCCCCAUGACCUCCACCCUGUGACGUCAUUAUCACCUAUCAUCUAACUAAAAUGUUUGGGAAAC